This is a long non-coding RNA of Hyla sarda, 2720 nucleotides long. RefSeq lists it as uncharacterized. The record is from RefSeq and is a predicted model, not a curated record. The transcript has 8 exons. NCBI's taxonomy places the organism in Eukaryota, Metazoa, Chordata, Amphibia, Anura, Hylidae.
UCAUGUUGCACUACUAAUAAUCUAGUAUUUGCUUACACCUCGUUGCAGCUAGGAACUAACUUUCAGAUCUCCCCUGGUUUGCAAGAAGGUUUAAGAAACACCUAUAUGCACAUCAAUUCACACAGUGCGUUAUUUGAAUUGCGAUUCAUCAAAUGUCUUUAACAGAACCUAAUUAGAAUUUCCUCCCCUGGUGAAGAUGUAUUCACACACCACUGAUCCUUAUACUGUCACCUCCGUAGCCUCCAAUGUUUAUGACGAGCUUCUAGUUAUUGGGAGACAUUGGUGGUGACAGGUGAGUCGAUCAUUUAAGAAAAUGCAACGGUGAAGUUUUAAAGUAUACCUGUUUGUCUUUUUAUCUUAAUGUUUGUUACACAUUUUUUUUUCUACUGAAUGUGCUCCUCCCUCCUGAAUCAGGUAUUUAGGAGGUAGGGUGCACACAGGUUCUAUGGUGAUCAAGAACGUGCAUGCGUUCGAAACGCGUCCAUGUGAGUUGCCUGCCGGCAUGGUGAUGGUGUUUGGAGUGUGCUCUUUAUUUUAAAGGAAAGAAUAAAAUUCAACAUUUUAAGGCACUGCUGGACUAUUCCUUUCUUCUAUUGCUGACACGUAUGAAGCCAGGCCUGGCUUGAAGUCCACGCAGAUCGUGGAGGAGGUGAGCUGAAAGAGAAAUAUUUUCUAUUUUUGCAUGCCACCUUUUUGAAGCCUAACAGAGGAAAUGCUGACCCUACCUGUUGGAUAUCAAAUGAUAAAAUCUUACUUUCUACAUCCAUAAGGUGUACACGCAAUAUUAAGCGUUAUGUCCUGCGAAAUCAUACUGCCCACUUCCUGCUAGACACACCACGUACCAAGUAAGAUAUUUUGUCUAGUUCUCAAUCUUCUGGUGGUUGUUCCAGGUACACUCAAUUGUUGGAAAUAUGUUGGAUGUGGUUCUGGUCCCCAAUGUAGAUACAAUAGUAAUGUGACAAGAGGCAUCUUGGGAGGUAACUAUUUUGUGUGCUACCUAUUAUUAGAAGCUCUAGAUUCUACAUAGGGAAAACUGAAAGACAGUUACAUGUAAGUCAGAUAGCACUUGUAUUCUGUGAGAGUAAGAGGGGGCUUCCCAAGCUUUGUACAGCAUAUGCAGGAGGUACAGAAUAGUGACUGCAGUGAAUUGAGAUUUUGAGGGGAAGGUGAUAGGAGGCAUUGGUUACUUCAAACGGAGGCAGCUGGAUACUGAAGCUGGAUUCCCAGGGCCCGUUAAGUCUCAAUGAUAGACUGGAGUUCUACUUCAGGCACAGCGCAAUGAUGUGAACGAGGCCGGAAGAAGCGCAUCAUGCUGCGCGAAACCGCCGGCAGUCACCUCUGAGCGCCCCACACCAGCCCUGUCGUCCCGUCCAUGGAGGGUUCCGAGGUCGAGCCGUGAGGCAUCUGUGGUUGCGGUUUUCUAUGACUUCGAAUGCAUGCAGGAGACCGACAUCCAUAUUCCUAAUUGUAUUUAGGCCACAACAAUUCCUUGGAAUUUGAGGGUUAAACCCGUACACAUGACUGUGCAAUUCUUUACCAGUGGUAAAUUUACAGGUUGUAUCUCCCAGCAUUGUUCACUUUAAAGGGGAUCCACUUCACUCUGUAUAGCGGCAGAGAUCAAGCAAGGAGAUGGAGGUGGUGGUAGUGUCGGCAGAGGAGGAAGAGGAGGAGGAUGACAACGGACAGCAGGCAGGACCCUCCCAUCAUUCACCUGCUCCAUCACCACCUGAUGUGGUGGAAAAUGUGGAGGUGGAGGCCGAAGAAGCUUCUCCCUGUCAGGAGCUGCAACUCCCGCCCCCCAUCUCCUGAGGAGGAGGAGGAGGAAGUUGCCCACUGCCGCCCCCACCAGGAGGUUCUCUCUAAAUUAAAAACAAAGAUAAUCCAGCUGCACAGGAUGUCAAAGCAGCAAUGCUGGUAAUAAAAAAAUUAAAAAAACAGCAAAAAAAAAAAAUGAUGGAGCAGCAGCAGCGGCUUCUGGAGAAGGUGGUGAAUAAGCUGGAGGAGCAACACCAAAAUGGGAUGCAGGAGUUGCCGGACCUCCAGAAGCAGCUGAAACCAGUUGCAUUAGAGACGAACUUGCAGACCUUUUAAAGAAGUUCUGGAUCAUGGAAACAGGAGGUCUGUGCAAAAACACUUUUUGGAGGAUUUUAAAUCAUUACCUUUUGGAACCUAAUGUAGCUAAAAAGCUCUGGAUCUGUCUUUACAGCAACGCUCUUUGACUAUUAGCAUCGUGGAAACUUUGCUACAACAUCCUUUUUCAUGUAUUUUAGUGGGGCCAUCCAACUCUGGAAAGAGAUUUUGUAAAACAACUGAUGCACAAUGCUGGGACUCAUUUAUCACUUAUUCCCGAUAUAAUACUGUUUUGGCUUUAUAGGUGUUGACAAACUGAGGACCUGUCUUUUCCAAACAUUAAAAUUAUUGAAGGCCUACUGCAUAAAUCUAUAGAUGAUCUGUUUCCACCCAAUAAGUGACUUGUCCAGAUAAGGGUGAAGAUCGGAGCACCGCCAUGACUGUUAUGUAUUUGUAAUUCCAAAAAGUAACCACACAUCAGCCCAUAAGAUGGACGAGAUAUAAUUGAGGUCUGAGGAGAAGACGGGAACAAGGAUACGAUCCAAGAUGAAGGUUGUUAAAAUUCAGAUCUGAUGUGUCCUGUUAUUGUGCCCAUUUACCAUGCCUGUACUGUGAUCCUAUGCAUAUGUCUCAUAUAAACAUAAAGUAAA